UCUGUGCCUUGGUGAAAGGACAAUGAUGC
RNAcentral lists this non-coding RNA (29 nucleotides) under Mus musculus (house mouse). The record is from RNAcentral. Lineage: Eukaryota; Metazoa; Chordata; Mammalia; Rodentia; Muridae.